CCUACGGGAGGCAGCAGUAGGGAAUAUUGGUCAAUGGGUGAGAGCCUGAACCAGCCAUGCCGCGUGCAGGAAGACGGCCUUCUGGGUUGUAAACUGCUUUUAUCUGGGGAUAAAAAGGCCUUGCGAGGCACAUUGAAGGUACCAGAUGACUAAGCACCGGCUAACUACGUGCCAGCAGCCGCGGUAAUACGUAGGGUGCAAGGGUUGUUCGGAUUUAUAGGGUGCGUAGGCUGCGUAUUAGGUCUGUGGUGAAGUCCAACAGCUCAACUGUUGAUGUGCCAAUGAUACUGAUGGACUUGAGUACAGACGAGGUAGGCGGAAUUGACAGUGUAGCGGUGAAAUGCAUAGAUAUUGUCAAGAACACCGAUAGCGAAGGCAGCUUGCUAGCCUGUAACUGACGCUGAGGCACGAAAGUAUGGGGAUCAAACAGGAUUAGAUACCCUAGUAGUC
Molecule: ribosomal RNA, 450 nt
Filed under: uncultured bacterium
Lineage: Bacteria
Description: partial 16S ribosomal RNA
Rfam family: Bacterial small subunit ribosomal RNA
Source: RNAcentral